GGACAGUGGAAGCCUCCAGCUCCCUGCUCACUAACAGCUUUCCCGAGCGUGGGACUUGGGAAGGCUGUCCUAAAAAUCCAAGUUCUGGCCAAAGCUAAGUAUUGUGCUUUUUGAAAAUCUAUUUUAAUUUGACUACGAUUCAACCUGGAUCUUUUAGUCUUCACCU
Molecule: long non-coding RNA, 166 nt
Organism: Phyllostomus discolor (pale spear-nosed bat)
Lineage: Eukaryota; Metazoa; Chordata; Mammalia; Chiroptera; Phyllostomidae
Exons: 2
Source: RefSeq, a predicted model, not a curated record